CCUACGGGAGGCAGCAGUGAGGAAUAUUGGACAAUGGUCGGAAGACUGAUCCAGCCAUGCCGCGUGCAGGAUGACGGCCUUAUGGGUUGUAAACUGCUUUUGUAAGGGAAGAAUAAGGACUACGUGUAGUUUGAUGACGGUACCUUAUGAAUAAGCAUCGGCUAACUCCGUGCCAGCAGCCGCGGUAAUACGGAGGAUGCGAGCGUUAUCCGGAAUCAUUGGGUUUAAAGGGUCUGUAGGCGGGCUGGUAAGUCAGAGGUGAAAGCGCUUAGCUCAACUAAGCAACUGCCUUUGAAACUGUUGGUCUUGAAUGGUUGUGAAGUAGUUGGAAUGUGUAGUGUAGCGGUGAAAUGCUUAGAUAUUACACAGAACACCGAUAGCGAAGGCAUAUUACUAACAAUUAAUUGACGCUGAUGGACGAAAGCGUGGGGAGCGAACAGGAUUAGAUACCCUGGUAGUCCACGCUGUAAACGAUGGAUACUAGCUGUUUGGUUUUAAGACUGAGUGGCUAAGCGAAAGUGAUAAGUAUCCCACCUGGGGAGUACGUUCGCAAGAAUGAAACUCAAAGGAAUUGACGG
This 578-nucleotide ribosomal RNA is filed under the name uncultured bacterium. Its description in RNAcentral is "bacterial SSU rRNA". It matches the Rfam family "Bacterial small subunit ribosomal RNA", at positions 338 to 916 of the family's 1533-position model. The record is from RNAcentral.